GCCAGCGUGGCAUAGUGGUUUGAGCCUUUGACUAUGACUCUGGAGACCAGGGUUCGAAUCCUGGCAUGGCCA
Molecule: non-coding RNA, 72 nt
Organism: Phrynosoma platyrhinos (Desert horned lizard)
Lineage: Eukaryota; Metazoa; Chordata; Lepidosauria; Squamata; Phrynosomatidae
Source: the annotation of a GenBank genome assembly